This 497-nucleotide ribosomal RNA is filed under the name uncultured bacterium. RNAcentral's name for it is "partial 16S ribosomal RNA". It matches the Rfam family "Bacterial small subunit ribosomal RNA", at positions 28 to 507 of the family's 1533-position model. The record is from RNAcentral.
GAUGAACGCUGGCGGCGUGCCUAAUACAUGCAAGUCGAGCGAACGGACGAGAAGCUUGCUUCUCUGAUGUUAGCGGCGGACGGGUGUGUAACACGUGGAUAACCUACCUAUAAGACUGGGAUAACUUCGGGAAACCGGAGCUAAUACCGGAUAAUAUUUUGAACCGCAUGGUUCAAAAGUGAAAGACGGUCUUGCUGUCACUUAUAGAUGGAUCCGCGCUGCAUUAGCUAGUUGGUAAGGUAACGGCUUACCAAGGCAACGAUGCAUAGCCGACCUGAGAGGGUGGUAGGCCACACUGGAACUGGGACACGGACCAGGCUCCUACGAGAGGCAGCAGUAGGGAAUCUUCCGCAGUGGUCGGAAGCCUGACGGAACAGCGCCGCGUGAGUGAUGAAGGUCUUCGGAUCGUAAAACUCUGUUAUUAGGGGAGAACAUAUGUGUAAGUAACUGUGCACAUCGUGACGGUACCUAAUCAGAAAGCCACGGCUAACUACGUG